This 819-nucleotide long non-coding RNA is filed under the name Homo sapiens (human). Its description in RNAcentral is "HSALNT0305644". Lineage: Eukaryota; Metazoa; Chordata; Mammalia; Primates; Hominidae. The record is from RNAcentral.
AGCAGAGGUGCAGAGGCAUGAGCCAGCAUGCUAUUUUGAGAAAGUCCUAGCAGUUUAUUGGCCCUGGAUGAAAAAAGAGAGCAGUGGAGAGGAAAGCAAGGUCAAUGGUGUGGUGUCAGGUGGGUCUGGGCUGAUAGAGAGAACUUGGGUUCCACCACAAAGAAGCUAAAAAGCAAAAAGAGGGUGUGUGAUGGGGAAGCAGCCGGCCACAGCGUCCAGGAUCAUGGCUCAAUCCGGAAGACAAUCUUACUUGUUAAUUUGUGUUUUGCUGCCCUGAUAAACAAUCAGGGCUAUAUCUCACCAGAAGAUAAGAGAUCUAUCUGAUGUGGCAGGUGGUAAAAUAGCAUGGCCAAAGGAACAGUAAGACUGUCAAAUUCGGAUUUGAAAGGUGUGGAGCAGAGUGGCCCUUGCUGCACCAUGAUCUUAGGAGAGCCGGGGAAGACACACAGCAAUGGCACACACAGAUUGGUUUCAAGUCACCAAGCUGGUCCAGGCUACAAGUCUCACCAUCCAGGAAAAAUAGCAGCUGUAGCAGUUCCCCUCCUGCCUAGGCUUACCAUGGGGAAGAGCACAAUUCUAGCCCUGCUCCUGGGGUGAUGUCCAUGGUUCUGACUGUGGAGGCCUCAACCCCACUCAAGAGAAGGUGCUCCAAUCUCUGGCCAAAACUACAAUGCCUGUGCAGCCACACUGCCAGGUCACUAAGAUGGAUGGAAUCGUGGAUUGAAGAGGGAUAAACGUCAGCUCUUCUCCCACGAUUUUGUACCUCUACUCUCCCAUCAGAAUGAUCAGGCCUGAGCCAGGUGAAUGAUUGCAGAGAGG